Molecule: unclassified non-coding RNA, 240 nt
Filed under: soil metagenome
Description: partial contains 5.8S ribosomal RNA, internal transcribed spacer 2, and large subunit ribosomal RNA
Source: RNAcentral
AACAAGGCGUACCUGCGGACCUGCGGAGGGAUCAUUAGAAAGAGUGUGUACCCCCCUGUAAAAUGGGUGGGUUACCUCCCGUCCUUUGUUGGCCUCUUAGGGGGCUAUUUUGAUUUUUCUGCUUUGGCGGGUUUAAACCUGCCAGAACACCCUCAAAAAAUUCUGAUCAUUAAAAACUGUUCAGUCCGAGGAUUUUAAGAAAAUAUAAAACAAAACUUUCAACAAUGGAUCUCAGAUCGG